GAGACACGGCCCAGACUCCUACGGGAGGCAGCAGUGGGGAAUUUUCCGCAAUGGGCGCAAGCCUGACGGAGCAACGCCGCGUGUGGGAAGAAGGCUCUUGGGCUGUCAACCACUUUUCUCAGGGAAGAAGUCCUGACGGUACCUGAGGAAUCAGCCUCGGCUAACUCCGUGCCAGCAGCCGCGGUAAUACGGAGGAGGCAAGCGUUAUCCGGAAUUAUUGGGCGUAAAGCGUCCGCAGGGGGCACUUCAAGUCUGCUGUCAAAGGUCGGAGCUUAACUCCGGUUCGGCAGUGGAAACUGGAGUGCUAGAGGGCGACAGGGGUAGAGGGAAUUCCCAGUGUAGCGGUGAAAUGCGUAGAGAUUGGGAAGAACACCGGUGGCGAAAGCGCUCUACUGGGUCGCACCUGACCCUCAGGGACGAAAGCUAAGGUAGCGAAAGGGAUUAGAUACCCCUGUAGUCUUAGCCGUAAACGAUGGAUACUAGGCGUGGUUUGUAUCGACCCAAGCCGUGCCGAAGCUAACGCGUUAAGUAUCCCGCCUGGGGAGUACGCACGCAAGUGUGAAACUCAAAGGAAUUGACGGGGGCCCGCACAAGCGGUGGAGGAUGUGGUUUAAUUCGAUGCAACGCGAAGAACCUUACCAGGGCUUGACAUCCCGCGAAUCUUGCUGAAAGGUGAGAGUGCCUUCGGGAGCGCGGAGACAGGUGGUGCAUGGCUGUCGUCAGCUCGUGUCGUGAGAUGUUGGGUUAAGUCCCGCAACGAGCGCAACCCUCGUCCUUAGUUGCCAGCAUUAAGUUGGGCACUCUAGGGAGACUGCCGGUGACA
RNAcentral lists this ribosomal RNA (823 nucleotides) under microbial mat metagenome. Its description in RNAcentral is "bacterial SSU rRNA". It matches the Rfam family "Bacterial small subunit ribosomal RNA", at positions 321 to 1160 of the family's 1533-position model. The record is from RNAcentral.